GGUGACUCAGUGGUAGAGCACUUGCCUUGCAUGCAUGAGGCCCUGGGUUCUAUUCCUAAGCACCA
Molecule: transfer RNA, 65 nt
Filed under: Dipodomys ordii (Ord's kangaroo rat)
Lineage: Eukaryota; Metazoa; Chordata; Mammalia; Rodentia; Heteromyidae
Rfam family: tRNA
About the family: Transfer RNA (tRNA) molecules are approximately 80 nucleotides in length.
Source: Rfam by way of RNAcentral